UUCGGCUUUAUGCUGGCGUUCGGCCUUGUGCCGCUGAGUGGUCAGCCACGAUCGCUCGCGAGCAGCGCGUGGUGGUCACCAGCGUCACCUUCUCCAAGCCCUCCAUGAAGGAGGCAGUGGGAGGGAGACACAUCUGGUGACAGCCCUCCAAAUAAGCUCGCGGUGGAGUUGAUGCUAGGUGUGGUAGAGAUCUGGCCAUCUCUUUCUUGCCGUCAAGGAGAUGGAGGUGGAAGAGGCGCGAGAUCCUAGCUUGUCCUUCAUCGAUGUUGCCUUUUUUGUUCCCUGCGUUGGAGGUACUCCGCUCCUUCUAUCGCUUCUUAGGUCGCCAUGGUGGAGAAUGGGAAACUGGGGAGAGAUGGAGGUCGAGAUUGGGUUGGUGCUCAUCCACGGUGGUUGUUCGUGAGUGGCUACGGUGCUUGGCUGUCGGCCGUCACCAGGGAAGACACCAGUUGGGGUUCACGAGUCGAAAAUGGAAUCCCGGCUCGGUCCUUCUUCCAGGGACGACACGAGUUGGGGUUCUCUUUGUAAAAGUCAAGGACCAGUUGGUAAUUUAGGUUUACUUGUGGGUCCUUUUGUAAUGUGUUGUGUACCAUCGUUUCCUCCAUAUUAAUGCAGCUUGGGUCCUGUCUUGUCAAAAAAAUGUGAUAGGUUUUUUUUUGAGACAAAAAAAAAAAACAAACAAAAAAUGUGCUAGGUAGUGACCCAGCUGUCCUAAUGGGCUGCAGCUCUAGAGGCCGAAACCAACGGAUCUAGUAAAAUGGGCCCGUUUGGCUGUGAAUUGUUAAUAAUUUGUUAGAUGUCGAAUGAACGAACGACUGCGAUUCUGCUUGCAGAAAUGAGAGUGAAACGAG
Molecule: long non-coding RNA, 851 nt
Filed under: Triticum aestivum (bread wheat)
Lineage: Eukaryota; Viridiplantae; Streptophyta; Magnoliopsida; Poales; Poaceae
Description: long non-coding RNA (TAES_LNC025985)
Source: RNAcentral